This 857-nucleotide long non-coding RNA is filed under the name Panax ginseng (ginseng). Its description in RNAcentral is "long non-coding RNA (PGIN_LNC019025)". Lineage: Eukaryota; Viridiplantae; Streptophyta; Magnoliopsida; Apiales; Araliaceae. The record is from RNAcentral.
GAUUUGAGUGCUUUUCUACCCCAAUUGAAGGGGCCUUUUUCUAGAAGGGAGGUUCACUCUUUUUGGUUGCCCCCAAGAAGCAGAUGGGCGUCUUUGCCUGCCAACAGGAACUUCUGCGAUUGACAUUAUUUUGGCGACGAGGGCCCUAAACCAACCCUUAUAAUAAGCACAUCUCAUCCAGAAGACGAAGCACGAAAGUACACAGCCUUCCUUUUCUUAUAAAGAGUACCAUGAUGAUAGGUGGGGCCACAAGGAUAACAUGAUUAUAUAAGCAGGCGUAUUAGUAGAAUUUAUAAUUGAUGCGAUACAGGCUAAUAGCGAAUGAGAGCAGCCGCCAACUAGGGUGUGCUUAAAUUCCUAUUGUCCCCCCUUUUUUUUAUUUGAUCCCGCGGUAUGUCACGACCCAUCUUUCUCUUCCCUUCACGUAAUUCCUCAUUCUGAAGCAAAAAAGGCUUCUGGAGAGAGGGGCACCCGUGGGCAGACAACCGGUCCUAUAAAAAGUAUAAGGAGGGGGGUUCACACAUAUGGCUGGUUCCCUUUGUAAAUCUGUAAACUUCAAUAGGAAAAUCCAUGGCAUAGUGAGUAGAUCCACAUCCAGAGUAGUGAUCAAACAAUUCUCACAAUCGAGAUUAGCAGGUAGGAAUGGAUAGCUGUGUUUGCAACCAAUUAGAACUAGAGAGCGUGAAGGAAACCAACCCUAUUGCAUAUUGCAAUGUGAUUUUGCGCCUCACUUGACGCUAGACGAUCUAUCCAUAUAGCCAGAAAGAUGCCUAUCAGGAUCCAGGGCUAGAUCUAGAGGAAGGCACUCGAGGUAGCAAUUGUGGAGAAUAGAGCCAAACUGCUAGUAAACAAGGNNN